RNAcentral lists this ribosomal RNA (1026 nucleotides) under Calonarius verrucisporus. Its description in RNAcentral is "eukaryotic LSU rRNA". It matches the Rfam family "Eukaryotic large subunit ribosomal RNA", at positions 1 to 943 of the family's 3401-position model. Lineage: Eukaryota; Fungi; Basidiomycota; Agaricomycetes; Agaricales; Cortinariaceae. The record is from RNAcentral.
AUUUUGACGUGAAGCAAGGUUCAGCUUCUAACAGUCCAUUGACUUGGAUAAUUCAAUUUAUUAAUGUGACCUCAAAUCAGGUAGGACUACCCGCUGAACUUAAGCAUAUCAAUAAGCGGAGGAAAAGAAACUAACAAGGAUUCCCCUAGUAACUGCGAGUGAAGCGGGAAAAGCUCAAAUUUAAAAUCUGGCAGUCUUUGGCUGUCCGAGUUGUAAUCUAGAGAAGCAUUAUCCGCGCUGGACCGUGUACAAGUCUUCUGGAAUGGAGCGUCAUAGAGGGUGAGAAUCCCGUCUUUGACACGGACUGCCAGGGCUUUGUGAUGUGCUCUCAAAGAGUCGAGUUGUUUGGGAAUGCAGCUCAAAAUGGGUGGUAAAUUCCAUCUAAAGCUAAAUAUUGGCGAGAGACCGAUAGCGAACAAGUACCGUGAGGGAAAGAUGAAAAGAACUUUGGAAAGAGAGUUAAACAGUACGUGAAAUUGCUGAAAGGGAAACGCUUGAAGUCAGUCGCGUUGUCCAGGGAUCAACUCUUGCUUUUGCUUGGUGUAUUUUCUGGUUAACGGGUCAGCAUCAAUUUUGACUAUUGGAAAAAGAUUAAGGGAAUGUGGCAUCUUUGGAUGUGUUAUAGCCCUUGGUUGCAUACAUUAGUUGGGAUUGAGGAACUCAGCACGCCGCAAGGCCGAGUUUUUAUUAACUACGUACGUGCUUAGGAUGCUGGCAUAAUGGCUUUAAUCGACCCGUCUUGAAACACGGACCAAGGAGUCUAACAUGCCUGCGAGUGUUUGGGUGGAAAACCCGAGCGCGCAAUGAAAGUGAAAGUUGAGAUCCCUGUCGUGGGGAGCAUCGACGCCCGGACUUGACCUUUUGUGACGGUUCCGCGGUAGAGCAUGUAUGUUGGGACCCGAAAGAUGGUGAACUAUGCCUGAAUAGGGUGAAGCCAGAGGAAACUCUGGUGGAGGCUCGUAGCGAUUCUGACGUGCAAAUCGAUCGUCAAAUUUGGGUAUAGGGGCGAAAGACUAAUCGAACCAU